GGGGGCGGGGCGCCUCCUCCGCGGCCAGGUGAGAGCGCGCUCGUGCGCGUCCGCGCUCCAGGCGGCGGGGGAGGGGCGCGCGCUGCGGACGCCGGCCCCGCCCCCUCUCCUGCGAGUCGGCCAAGUGGGCGUUGGGGCGCCGAGGGACCCUCGAACCCCGAGACGGCGGGACUUCGGCUCAGGGUCACCUCGGACGAACAGAAAAGGAAGGGCAGCGAGGGAAAGGCAGGCGGGGUCUCGCAGAGUCGCCACCGGCGGGGACUCGAACCUGAGCUCGGGAGGCCAGCAACGAGCCGGCCGCCGGACCUCUGACCGUAGCACGCCCCCCGGGUGACGAGCGCCCCGUAAGGCUGCAAGCCGGAGCCUCUGAGGCGGGCGCAGGGGGCCCCGUCUACAUCAGCAGACCAUGCCAUGGGCCCCGCGCCCACCGCAGCCUGAGCCACUCCGGUCUUCCGGGGCACAACACACAGGUCCGCGCCCCGAGGGCCCGUGCCCACCUGCGUCGGUGUCCUCGGAGAUCCCGCUGGAACGUCCCAGGGCAGGCUCCAGUCUGUAUCUGCAGGGUCCAGGUCUGCCCUUAGAACGCUGUCUCCCGUGUCACUUCGGCCUCCAGCCUGGGAGCCGGAGUGACAGCCGCCAGGGCAGACCCUCAGCAGAGGCUGCCGGGUGGGCAGGCACCCUUGCUGAGAGCUCCACGUUGUGCCAUUCGCCUGCACUCUGACAGAUGAGACACAGCGGCUGAUGAGCUGCACCGGACUUAGACUUCCAUGAGCUUCCAGAAACAUGGAGACGGGUGGGUGACCCCAGACGCAGAAGGGGUAGAUCACCUUGGGAAGUACCCAGCCCCUGGAGAGGGCGGCAGAUGCUGGUCAAGGACGGUGUGUGUAGCCUGUCUGGUUCCCUGGGUGGCGGGAGGCUGCUGCUAAGUGGGGGCAGAGAGAGGGAGGAGGCCAGAGUUACACCAGCCCCCUUCGUGGGCAGCCACGCCUGUGCUUAAGAGGCCACGGGGGUUAGUGAUGGAGAGCGUGGACUUUCCAGUUGAACAGACUUGCUUCGACACCGCGCCUGACACACCCUCGCUGUGUGAUCUUAGGCAAGCACAUCGCUGUCAUAGGAUAUGGAUAUUUACAGCCCCCUUUGCAGCCGCUCCUCCGCUCCGCGGGAUUGUAUUCCAGUGAGCGUGUCUACGUGGAAAGCGGCGUUUGUGGGAGAUGCAGUUACCCCUGUGGCCUGUCAUCUUCCAGUCAUCCACAGGACACUAGCGCCAUUUCCUGAGGUGAUCCCACAGUGGACAGGAGUUACGACUCCCGCUGCCCAGAAUCACCGUGGCGUAUUGAACUGAACACUAAUAGUCCACAAAAAGAUCAAAGUUCAAAAUGUGAAAUAUGGUUUCGACUGAAGUCGCAUCCCACCAUAAAGUAAAAAAAAAAUUCUGCAGAAUUUUACCUACACACUGUAAGUGCAGGCUCCCGGCUCCCACACAGAGGCGGUCUGUGGUGAUGUUCUGUUUGUGCUCUAACAAAUGAAGCCUGCUUGGAGAGCAGAGUGCGGAGCUGGCCACUAGUUAACCACACAGGUCCGGCAGUGGUGGCACUCACCUUUAAUCCCAGCACUUGACAGAAGCUCACUCCCCUUCAGCCUGAGGAGAUGGCGAGCAGUUGAAGACAAAGCCCUCACCACACGAGUCUCCAAGGGACUUUCCAGAUCCAAACACAGCACUACAGCCAUCAAGACCCACGUCCAGGGUCUCACUAAGCAGAUCAGGCUGGCCAUCUCACGGGUACAAACUGAACAAAAAGGAGAAAACAAGCCGAGCACCACUGUCCAUCUCUUUCUGCCUCCUGACUGCAGAUGCAAUGUGACAGCCCACCUCACGCUCCGCUGUCAUGUCCUCUCAUCAGAUGCAAUGUGACAGCCCGCCUCACGCUCCGCCCUCCUCAUCAGGAUGGACUGAACCCUGGGAGCCAAAGGUUUCUCUGUGUAGUUUUGGUGCCUCUCCUGGAUCUCACUUUGUAGACCAGGCUGGCCCUGAACUCACAGAGAUCCACCUGGCUCUGCCUUCCAAGUGCUGGGACUAAAGGUGUGUGCCGCCGCUGCCACUGCUGAUGUUGCUACCGCCAGAGAGAUGACACAGCUGUUAAGCGCCCUUACUGCUCUCGAGGAGGACCAGGGAUCGGCUCUCAGCACUCCCGUGACACGCUGGCUCACAACUGCCUGUAACUCCAGUUUCGGAGGCUCCAGCACCCUCUUCUGGCCUCCCCUGGCACUGCACACAUGUGGUGCACAGACACACAUGCAGGCAAAGCAUUCAUACCCAUAAAAUAGAACAUUUUAAAAAGGACUGUGGAUGUAGCUAGGUGACGUGGUACUUGUCUAGCAUGUCAAGCUGUAGGUUUAACACCCAGCACUGGGUGUGGGGGAUGCAACUGACUGCUCCUGGUUGUGGCAGGUGAGAAUUUAGUUCUUUCUCUUGCCUUCUUCCACAGACAUAUUUACUCCUUUACGUUUGAUUAGAGUGAUGUUCAGUGCCCAGUCACUGCUGUCCAAACUGUGGGCAGACCCUCUUGAUGUAGCAAGUGUUGUGUUAACGCAGAUCAGCUAGUUGAUACCUGGUGAUUGGUAAACAGGGUCUAAGGUUAGCGUUUCUGUUCAGUGUUUCAAAGCCAGCAGCAGUAAACACCCAACAACUACAGAGCCGCCUUCCCAGCCAUGGCGCCUCGGGCCUUUAAUCUUAGCUCUUGAGAAGCUAAAACAGGUGGAGUGGCCAGAGUUCGAGGCUACAGGCUACAAAACCUCACCCCGAAAGGAAGAGGGCCUUUGCAAUAAGUGAAGGCCCUCCCCCAAAAGUCACGCCAAACCCCAGGAAAGCCCUUUUAACAAAUAAAACAAAACAACCAAACACCCAUCCACUUAUUUAUUUGUGCGUGGGUUGAGGGGCGGGUGGGGAUGGCACAUGUGCCAGGGCAUGUGUGUGGAGGUCAGAGAACAGCGCGUGGGAGUCUGCUGUCUCCCACCACGUGGGUCUUGUGGAACAAACUCGGGUUGUCAGGCUUGGCAGCAAGUGCCUUUGCCCACUGAGCCAUCCUGCCAGCCCUGUAGCAGCUUUCUAAUUAAUAAAGAAAACUACUCUGGCUUGUGGUUGUUUUUGCUGGUGUCGUUUGUUUACUUGCUUCUUUUGUUUUAGGACGGGGUCUUGUCCUGGACCCUGCUGAAUGCUGGGAUUGCGGAAGUGAGCCACCAUGCCUGGCUAGUUUGUUAUCUUCAGUCUUGGUGAACCGGGUUUGAUUUAGAGGUAAAUGUCUGCAAAGAUCUGUCACCCAAGAGGAAGCAGCUGCCCCUGAGGCUCACUUGGCUGUUCACAAGGUGGCAGUUGGAGUAAUUGGUGCUGAUGCCCGAGGAGAAAUGAGUGUGCUGGGGUUUUUAUUGGUAUCGUGGCUGUUUUUAUUAGAGGCUUGGUUACAACCUUCUGAGACAAAAAACACAAACCUAAUAAAGGACUUGCACCCAGAGCACAUAACGAACACUUGUAACUCAAUAAGAAGACAAACAACCCAAUAAAAAUGAGCAAAAAAUCCUGAACAUGCCGUGUGCUCGCGGAGACACAGGUGACAAACAAGCACCCGAGAGUGUCGUCCUUUGUCACCCUCACUGCUGCAGCAAAGGCCAGAGCGAUGAGGACUUCAGUGCCACAGGCUGGGGAGGCUUCGACGGGAACACAAAACAGUCCAUCCCUGUCAAAAACAGUCGGGUGUUUCCUUCUAGUAAACCGUAUGCUUGUGUAUAUGGUCCUUCUGAUACUCCUUUACUCAUGAGAAAUAAACCAUUCGCAUUCA
Molecule: long non-coding RNA, 3833 nt
Organism: Peromyscus maniculatus bairdii (prairie deer mouse)
Lineage: Eukaryota; Metazoa; Chordata; Mammalia; Rodentia; Cricetidae
Source: RefSeq, a predicted model, not a curated record